AGCAAUGGAGCGGAUUGAACAAAAAAAAUCUCUGCAAUGGAUAAGCCUCAAGAGGUUCGAUCUAGAAACCAACAGAAACCAACGACAACAACCAAAACAACAUUGAAACAGACCCCGUCUCCAGAAAACUGCGAGUUGAAGAUCGGAAAUAUCUGUUAUUCUGCUUUGAUACAAAUUAAAUUGAACGUCGACGACAACAAAGCAGUUGAUAUUUGUAAGAAACGUAACGCGGAUGUUGGUUCGAUCCGAAAUGAAGAAUCUUACAAUGCGAUUAUGAAAUACUUGAAGAAGAAGAUUCCAAAAAGACUAUCACAUAUUAGUAUAUGGACAGGAAUUAAGUUUUGAUCCAAUGACCCGUGACGUCACACCUGCAGAUUCAUUCAUUAAAUGGCAAGGCUUUCCACUCAUUGGAAUUGAUUAUAAAGAUUACACAAAUGUUUAUCUCUCUGUUGAUUCCAACUCGAGAUUGCAAGGGAUGGAAAAUACUUAUCCUACCUGGGGGCAUGUUAGAGUUCCCCUCCGGCGAUUUCAUGGAGUUAUAUGUGAGAUCCAGAUCUUAUAAACGUCUGUCUGGUUGUAUUUCUAUCAUCAGUGAAAUAUAAAUCAUUCAAUCCCAAUUUGAAAUUGAUGUCGAAAAUUUAUCAAGAGUUUGAAUAAAAAUAGCGAACAUUCUACAACAAUAAAGUUCAGUUAUUUACAUAGUGUUAUCUGUCAGAUUGUUUCGUUUUACCAGUCUGAUUACUUUGCAUUAUGAAAAUAUGGUGGUGAAAUUCAGAGAUUUUGAUGUUUAAUUUACGCUAUUUUAAAAACUCGAAAAUGAAAAAUAUA
This is a non-coding RNA of Styela clava, 828 nucleotides long. The record is from RefSeq and is a predicted model, not a curated record. Lineage: Eukaryota; Metazoa; Chordata; Ascidiacea; Stolidobranchia; Styelidae.